Molecule: ribosomal RNA, 506 nt
Filed under: uncultured bacterium
Lineage: Bacteria
Description: bacterial SSU rRNA
Rfam family: Bacterial small subunit ribosomal RNA
Source: RNAcentral
GAGGCAGCAGUGAGGAAUAUUGGUCAAUGGGCGGAAGCCUGAACCAGCCAAGUCGCGUGAGGGAUUAAGGCCCUGCGGGUCGUAAACCUCUUUUGCCGGGGAGCAGUGGUCCGGACGCGUCCGGGCCGGGAGAGUACCCGGAGAAAAAGCAUCGGCUAACUCCGUGCCAGCAGCCGCGGUAAUACGGAGGAUGCGAGCGUUAUCCGGAUUUAUUGGGUUUAAAGGGUGCGUAGGCGGGCAUUUAAGCCGGCGGUCAAAUGUCGGGGCUCAACCCCGGCCUGCCGUCGGAACUGGGUGCCUUGAGUGGGCGAGAAGUAUGCGGAAUGCGUGGUGUAGCGGUGAAAUGCAUAGAUAUCACGCAGAACCCCGAUUGCGAAGGCAGCAUACCGGCGCCCUACUGACGCUGAGGCACGAAAGUGCGGGUAUCGAACAGGAUUAGAUACCCUGGUAGUCCGCACAGUAAACGAUGGAUGCUAUCUGUCCGGGCCGAAUGAGGCCUGGGUGGC